UGAAAGACAGGGUAGUGAGAUG
Molecule: microRNA, 22 nt
Filed under: Eisenia fetida (common brandling worm)
Lineage: Eukaryota; Metazoa; Annelida; Clitellata; Crassiclitellata; Lumbricidae
Description: Efe-Mir-71-P3_5p (mature (guide))
Source: RNAcentral